This 903-nucleotide long non-coding RNA is filed under the name Solanum tuberosum (potato). RNAcentral describes it as "long non-coding RNA (STUB_LNC006759)". Lineage: Eukaryota; Viridiplantae; Streptophyta; Magnoliopsida; Solanales; Solanaceae. The record is from RNAcentral.
AUAUUUAUUAUCUAAACCAUCUAAAACAAGGUAAAGUUUACAACUCAAAUAUAUUACAAGUAGGAAGUCUAAAUCUAGUAGAACACAUAAUUGCCUAAAAUUUGCCCCGUCAAUCUAUAAAAAGACAAUCAGCUAAUAGACUAUCAAAGAAACAGAAAUCUAAAUAAAAAUAACAUAUAUUACAAGUUACCGAUUAUCUAGCUAGGGCAAAUUUGUAAGAAAAAAAAACGUAUCUAAUGUCUGGAGAAGAUGAAGAAUGGAAGCAACAAAUCCCACCGGGUUUCAGGUUUUGUCCUUCUGAUGAAGAGAUACUACAAUAUUAUCUUCUUCGUCAUGUCACCGGAAACUAUAUCCUGCCUGGAAUAAUACCUCAAGUUGAUCUCUACGAAUGUAACCCUGAUCACCUUCCAGGUAUCAUAACUUGAGCUUCUUCCUCAUGCAUGACUUAUAUAACUUGAGCUUCUUCCUUAUGCAUGACUUAUAUAUGUAGAGUCCGGAGUCGAUAAUUUUUUCUUUCAAAAAACAUAAACGGUAUAUCAAAAAAAAAUUAAACCAAAAGGGGCAAAAUCGCUCUUAAGAGAGCGAUAUCUUAGUACAAAAUUGACUCCGUUUAUGCCGUUAAAAAAAAUUAAAAUCGCUGCCCCAACAGCGAUUUCGUCAAAAAAAAUUGUUUUUUAAAUAACAGCGAUUUUCUUAAAUUUUUUAUUUUUUAAAAUAUGAACAUGCAGCGAUUUUCCUCAAACUUUUUUUUAAAAUUUACUACUUGAACAAUAGGCAGUUGAUACACAAUUUUUUUGAGGAUUUUUUUUUUGAACAAUAGGCCAAAGCAGCGAUAAUUAAAAAAAUUUUAAAAAUUGAGGAAAAUCGCUGCUGAGCAACAAUUUUAGGUUUUUUUUUUUUUUU